This 499-nucleotide long non-coding RNA is filed under the name Rattus norvegicus (Norway rat). Its description in RNAcentral is "long non-coding RNA NONRATT010349". The record is from RNAcentral. Lineage: Eukaryota; Metazoa; Chordata; Mammalia; Rodentia; Muridae.
GGAGCAUGGUGGCUCAUGCCUUUAAUUCCAGCCCUUGGGAGGCAGAAGCAGGCAGAUCUCUGUGAGUUCGAAGCCAGCCUGCUCUACAUAGAGAGUUCCAGGACAACCAGGGCUACCCAGAGAAACCUUGUCUGAAAAUAAAUGAAGUGAUACCUAGUUAAGUAAGUAAGCUCUGGGUUAGCCGGUGAGCAGUGGACUUUGGUUAGCAUCUUCAUGCCGUGCCCCAUGGCCCUCUGUUCUCAGUCCCCUCCCUGCUCUUCCCUGAGCUUCUCCUUCCCAUUACUUCCCUAUUGUCUUCAAGACCUCCUCCUCCAGGCGAGAGAGAAGGCUAAGAGCACUGACUGCUCUUCCAGAGGUCCUGAGUUCAGUUCCCAACAACCACAUGGUGGCUCACAGCCAUCUGUAAUGGGAUCGGAUGGCCUCUUCUGGUGUGUCUGAAGACAGUGACAGUGUACUCACAUACAUAAAAUAAAUAAAUAAAUCUUUAAAAAAGAGAUAA